This 492-nucleotide ribosomal RNA is filed under the name uncultured bacterium. RNAcentral describes it as "partial 16S ribosomal RNA". It matches the Rfam family "Bacterial small subunit ribosomal RNA", at positions 29 to 507 of the family's 1533-position model. The record is from RNAcentral.
AGUGAACGCUGGCGGUAGGCCUAACACAUGCAAGUCGAACGGCAGCACAGUAAGAGCUUUCUCUUACGGGUGACGAGUGGCGGAAGGGUGAGGAAUACAUCGGAAUCUACUUUUUCGUGGGGGAUAACGUAGGGCAACUUACGCUAAUACAGCCUACGACCUACGGGUGAGAGCAGGGGAUCUUCGGACCUUGCGCGAUUGAGUGAGCCGGUGUCGGAUUAGCUAGUUGGCGGGGUAAAGGCCCACCAAGGCGACGAUCCUUAGAUGGUGUGAGAGGGUGAACAGCCACACUGGAAGUGAGACACGGUACAGACUCCUAGAGGAGGCACCAGUGGGGAAUAGUGGACGAUGGGCGCAAGCCUGAUCCAGGCAUACCGCGUGGGUGAAGAAGGCCUUCGGGUUGGAAAGCCGUUUUGUGGUGAAAGAAAAGCAUCAGGUUAGGACCCCGCUGUUCUGACGGUACCCAAAGAAUAAGCACCGGCUAACUUCGUG